CCUACGGGUGGCAGCAGUGGGGAAUAUUGCACAAUGGGGGAAACCCUGAUGCAGCGACGCCGCGUGAGUGAAGAAGUAUUUCGGUAUGUAAAGCUCUAUCAGCAGGGAAGAAAAUGACGGUACCUGAUUAUGAAGCCCCGGCUAACUACGUGCCAGCAGCCGCGGUAAUACGUAGGGGGCAAGCGUGAUCCGGAUUUACUGGGUGUAAAGGGAGCGUAGACGGCAGCACAAGUCGGGAGUGAAAUGCCAGGGCUUAACCCCGGAACUGCUUUGGAAACUGUGCAGCUAGAGUGCAGGAGAGGUAAGUAGAAUUCCUAGUGUAGCGGUGAAAUGCGUAGAUAUUAGGAGGAACACCAGUGGCGAAGGCGGCUUACUGGACUGUAACUGACGUUGAGGCUCGAAAGCGUGGGGAGCAAACAGGAUUAGAUACCCGGGUAGUC
RNAcentral lists this ribosomal RNA (440 nucleotides) under uncultured bacterium. Its description in RNAcentral is "partial 16S ribosomal RNA". It matches the Rfam family "Bacterial small subunit ribosomal RNA", at positions 338 to 795 of the family's 1533-position model. The record is from RNAcentral.